RNAcentral lists this ribosomal RNA (433 nucleotides) under Streptococcus pneumoniae. RNAcentral describes it as "bacterial SSU rRNA". It matches the Rfam family "Bacterial small subunit ribosomal RNA", at positions 28 to 453 of the family's 1533-position model. The record is from RNAcentral. Lineage: Bacteria; Bacillati; Bacillota; Bacilli; Lactobacillales; Streptococcaceae.
GACGAACGCUGGCGGCGUGCCUAAUACAUGCAAGUAGAACGCUGAAGGAGGAGCUUGCUUCUCUGGAUGAGUUGCGAACGGGUGAGUAACGCGUAGGUAACCUGCCUGGUAGCGGGGGAUAACUAUUGGAAACGAUAGCUAAUACCGCAUAAGAGUGGAUGUUGCAUGACAUUUGCUUAAAAGGUGCACUUGCAUCACUACCAGAUGGACCUGCGUUGUAUUAGCUAGUUGGUGGGGUAACGGCUCACCAAGGCGACGAUACAUAGCCGACCUGAGAGGGUGAUCGGCCACACUGGGACUGAGACACGGCCCAGACUCCUACGGGAGGCAGCAGUAGGGAAUCUUCGGCAAUGGACGGAAGUCUGACCGAGCAACGCCGCGUGAGUGAAGAAGGUUUUCGGAUCGUAAAGCUCUGUUGUAAGAGAAGAACGAG